GCCGCCGCCGCCGCCAACGCCGCCGCCGCGCCCCGAGCGCCCCCCCCGUUUCUAUAUUUACCAGCGGCGCCCGGAAGGGGCCGGCGCAGGCACGUCCAGCCCCGGGGAAGCCGGGCACGCGGGCUUUUUUUUUGAUUUUUUAUUUUUUUACUCUAGAAACGGCGUUGCCCUUUGGAGGGUGGGCGGGAACGUGCUGCUUUCAGGAAAAUGUCCAGCCGCUUCUCGGAACCCACGGAGCCCGCCGACGACCACUAUCCGGCGCUCACGGCUCUGCACGCAGUUGCCCGCGCGCCGGGGGAGGGAGACGCCGGGCCUACAGUGUAUCCUGCUGGAGCUAAGCUACUGUUACGGGGAAGGGGAGCGAGUCCAAUAAAAGAGCCACUAGUACAGGCCUCACACGAGGCUGUUUUCGGAGCCGGGUCAUUCAGGUAAGACACAGCCCCUCUGCCCAGUUCCCGCAGGCCUGUCCGGCUUCAGUCCUACACUUACUUGGCUCGGGGUGUUUGCAUCACAGCCUGUACUUCCACCAUCAAGACACUGACCCCUCUGAGCUGUGACGGCCUGUUCGCCGCUGCGUCCCCAGCCACACUGAGGUGAAACCGCAGUUUGGGCCUCCACACCAACAGGGAAUGGAGUCUCUAGGAUGGUGUCAGCAGUAGCUCAGACCUUCCGAGUCCA
Molecule: long non-coding RNA, 678 nt
Organism: Canis lupus familiaris (dog)
Lineage: Eukaryota; Metazoa; Chordata; Mammalia; Carnivora; Canidae
Exons: 3
Source: RefSeq, a predicted model, not a curated record